Long non-coding RNA from Columba livia (rock pigeon), 1854 nucleotides. RefSeq lists it as uncharacterized. The record is from RefSeq and is a predicted model, not a curated record. NCBI's taxonomy places the organism in Eukaryota, Metazoa, Chordata, Aves, Columbiformes, Columbidae. The transcript is spliced from 3 exons.
GUGCAAAGAGCCUCCAGGUCCGCCUUGGAGAUGAGGGAACACUUCACUGCGCGGGUGGGCACCGAGUUGAUGGCUUUGAGGGUCCGGAGCUCUUUGAGAUCGCAGCGUCGGCUCUUUAUCUUUAAGGUUUCCAUCUUCUUGCUGAUGGUGGUCCUGGGGAUAUCCUUAAACAGGUCGCUGAGGACCUGGGCCAAAGCAAACAUCUGGGUGCCAUUGAUCUGUUGUUGUGUGAGAGGUUGCUGCGCCUUCCCAAAUCUGCCCGGAUUCCUUUGGGAUGGCUGUGUGUUCGUAUAGAUUUAAUAAAGCGUGAAAGAUAUUACUCUAACCGAGUUGUUCAAAACGAUUGACUCCGCAACAAUUCAUCCCUCAGCCCAAAGUGGAAUGCUUAUUAAUUGCCAAUUACUGUAUUUAUUAUCUGGAAUGAGCACGGGCUGGAGCGCGGUAUCAACAAUAACAUCGGCAAUAUGUGCAAAUAUAAAAGAAAUGCAAAUAUAUUUAUAUUCCUUUCUACUCACACACGUUCUUUAUUCACUUCGCAUCUGUUUCUUCCAAACUCUUUCUUUAAAAAAAUAAAAUAAGGUAAAAUUCUUUUGCAUGCCUUUGCGCUGCUUAACUUUAUUUCAAACUUUAAGUCCCAAGAUUUCUUCGGCAUUUUGUAGCUCCCUCCUGCCUUACAAACCAGGCGAUGUUUGCCCCAAAAACAGAGCUGUAGAUUCCUAUCUCCAAGCGGGGGGAAGAGUAUAUUUAAAAAUAAAACAUUAAAAAAGCCCCAAAGCCUUACCCAGGCCGGAGCUCCAUUGUCCCGGCUUCUCUAUUUCUUUAUAAACCUGAAGCUACUUGAGCGAAGCGAGUGGAGCCGCGGAGGCUGGACCGAGGGAUUUUAACUCUCUGCUCAGGAGGCUAAUUUUGGGGAAACAGUUACCUCGGAAACCUUUCUGGGGGAAGGGAAGCGGCAGCUCUGCAGCGCACGCUGCUCCCUUUCAAGCUUCGUCUGUCUCCCACAUGCAAAGUCGCUUUUAGUCUUCCUCUGCCUUUUUUUUUUUGUGGGGGUGUGUGUGUGGUUCAAAUGGCAAAAUCCGAGUGAUUUGGUAAUAAUAAUUUGUUAAACUAUAUGUACAAUCAACCACAAAUGAUCCCGAUUUAGAAACAGUCCCAGAGGAGGAGGAGGAGGAGGAAGCGCAUUCCUGAGUGAGCGUGUAAAAAAAUUCCGAAUAACUCCAACAUCGCCUUUAAUUUGGGAGCGGAGAUCACCUGAUUUGCAUUCACCUCCUCGCCGGCUGACGAGAAGGGCUCGUCCCCGUGCCAAUCCCGGUUCCUGAUCCCAGGAAUCACCGCCGGGCUUUCCCCCUCCCCAGCACCCAUGGGCGCACCCCCCGCCAGCGCUCGGCCUUGCUGCGGAAAGAAAAACACCCCAUUUUCCAGCUCUGGCUACGUUAAACCACCACAUUUCACCCUCGUUUUCCACAGGCGAGAGUUUCCUUCCUCUUCAAGGCCUGAUGUGGAUUGAGAGCCUGACCAGUUGCUUAUUGACCCAUGAUGGCAACACAAUGACCCUGCUGCCCCCAGCCUGACCCUGGGACCCCCGAAGGACCCAGCCCCACGGAACAGGGCUCAGAUAUGCAAAGUUGGAGCUUUAUGGGCUUUUGGGGAGGGGGGAAAGGGGGGGGCGGGGUGCAAAGUGGGUUUCAUUAACAAAAAUGUGUUUAUUGUAAAUAAAAAAGGCAAAGGGGCUGUUUAAAGGAACAUGUCCUGAAGGAUCGCAGCUACCUUCGGGAUGGGGAAAUGCUGGGAGCUUUGGAGCCCCUUUUAUCCCAACACACGCCUAAUUGGUGACAAUAAAAGGAGAAAAGCUGA